CUGGGCAGUAUGAUCCCAAGUUUAUUUUAUUUUAUUUUAUAGUCAGUUGAAGUGUACUAAGGAAUACGGAUUGGCCAGAACAUUAGGACAAUCCUGCUAUUAAGAUGUAUUACAUUAAUAAGUCAUCACAAUGCUAAUGAAGAGAGUGAUGAUAAUGAAUUUAAAUUGUUUUUUCCAAGUUCUUUUAAAGUAAACCAUUCUCAGAUUGAAUGAAAAGUUUG
This is a non-coding RNA of Pelobates cultripes (western spadefoot toad), 221 nucleotides long. NCBI's taxonomy places the organism in Eukaryota, Metazoa, Chordata, Amphibia, Anura, Pelobatidae. The record is from the annotation of a GenBank genome assembly.